GCGGGGCGGCGCUCUAGGCCGAGCGGGAGGUCUUGGCUUCGGGCGCUCGCUGGUGGCGGACCCGGAGGCUGCUCCUGCGCGCCGGGGCUCCUUGGCCCGGAUCGAAUUCGAUCUGGAGCCAUGAGUGUGGACAAGGCCGAGCUAUGCGGGUCUCUGCUCACCUGGUUGCAGACGUUCCAAGUUCCACCUCCCUGUGCCAGUCCUCAGGACCUGAGCAGCGGACUCGCCAUAGCCCAUGUGCUGAAUCAGAUAGACCCUUCCUGGUUCAACGACGCAUGGCUCCAGGGCAUCACAGAGGACCCAAGUCCCAGCUGGAGGUUGAAGGUCAGGAAACUGGAGAAGAUCUUACAGAGCUUGAUGGAAUAUUCGAAGGAUGUCCUGGGGCACCCUGUGUCGGAGCAGCAUCUCCCAGAUGUCAGCCUCAUUGGAGAGGUCUCAGAUCCUGCUGAGCUUGGCAAGCUGCUUCAGCUGGUACUGGGCUGUGCUAUCAGUUGUGAGAAAAAACAGGAGUAUAUCCAGAGAAUUAUGACGCUGGAGGAAUCUGUUCAGCACAUAGUGAUGGAAGCCAUACAGGAGCUCAUGACAAAAGACACUUCUGAUUCCCUGUCACCGGAGACUUACGGGAACUUUGAUACACAGUCCCGCAGGUACUAUUUCCUGAGUGAGGAGGUGGAGGAGGGUGAUGAACUUCAGCAGCGCUACCUGGAUCUGGAACGGCAGCUUGCGCUCCUUUCAGAGGAGAAGCAGACUCUGGCACAAGAGAAUGCUGCCCUGCGGGAGAGGGUGGGCCGAUCGGAAGUGGAGAGUGCCCCGGGCCUCACUGCGAAGAAGCUGUUGCUUCUGCAGUCACAGCUGGAACAGCUGCAGGAGGAGAAUUUCAGGCUGGAGAGCAGCCGGGAAGAUGAGCGGCUGCGCUGCCUGGAGCUGGAGCGGGAGGUCACUGAGCUGCAACAGCGGAACCAAGCACUGAGCAGCCUGUCUCAGGAGGCACAGUCAUUAAAGGAUGAGAUGGAUGAGCUGAGGCAGUCCUCCGAGCGUGCGAGGCAGCUGGAGGCUACUCUGAACAGCUGCCGUCGCCGCCUGGGUGAGCUCCGGGAACUCCGGCGGCAGGUGCGGCAGCUGGAGGAGCGCAAUGCAGGCCACGCGGAGCGCACGCGGCAGCUGGAGGAGGAGCUGCGCCGUGCAGGAUCCCUGCGUGCCCAGCUCGAGGCUCAGCGCAGGCAGGUUCAAGAGUUGCAGAGCCAGUGGCAGGAAGAGGCCAUGAAGGCUGAGAAGUGGCUGUUUGAAUGCAGAAACCUAGAGGAGAGGUGUGACCUGGUGACAAAGGAGAAGGAGCGGCUAUUGACAGAGAGGGACUCCCUGAGGGAGGCCAAUGAGGAACUCCGCUGUGCCCAGCUGCAGCCGAGGGGAUUGCCAACACAGGCUGACCUCUCCCUGGAUCCUACCCCUUCUGGCCCAGAAAACUUAGCAGCAGAGAUCCUGCCAGCAGAGCUCAGGGAGACACUCCUGCGGCUUCAGCUGGAAAACAAACGACUGUGCCAGCAGGAGGCGGCGGACCGGGAGCGACAGGAGGAGCUGCAGCGCCAUCUGGAGGAGGCCAACCGUGCACGCCAUGGCUUGGAGACGCAGCACCGGCUGAACCAGCAGCAGCUGUCUGAGCUGAGGGCCCAGGUGGAAGAGUUACAGAAGGCCCUGCAGGAGCAGGCGGGCAAGAGUGAGGACGUGAGUGCCCACCUCCUCCCUGCCUGGCCCUCCCUUGUGCUCCCCAGUAAUCCUCCUUUCCCCCCCCACCCCUCUGCUGCCGGAUGCCCGAGGAAGGCCACUCCCACCCUGCUGAAGAGAAAGCUGGAGGACCAUCUGCAGAAGCUGCAUGAGGCUGACCUAGAGCUGCAGAGGAAACGAGAGUACAUUGAGGAGUUGGAGCCUCCUGCUGACAGCAACACGGCUCGGCGGAUUGAGGAGCUGCAGGACAGUCUGCAGAAGAAGGAUGCAGACUUGCGGGCCAUGGAGGAGCGAUACCGACGCUAUGUGGACAAGGCACGCACGGUCAUACAGACCCUGGAACCCAAGCAGCGGCCACCAACUGUGGUGGCCCCGGAAUUGCAUACCCUGAGGACGCAGCUCUGGGAGCGGAACCUGCGGAUAAGGCAGCUGGAGGUGGGUGCCCUCAUCCCUUCCUGCGGCCGGCGGCGCAGCCAAGCCCUUGCCUGACUCUUGUUCUCCUUGGCAGAUGGACAGUGAGAGGAGUCGGAGCCAACGGGAGCAGGAGGAAAAGCUGCUCAUCAGUGCCUGGUACAGCAUGGGCAUGGCCUUGGAACAGCGGGCUGGGGAAGAGCAGGCUCCUGCCCAUGCCCAGUCCUUCCUGGCACAGCAAAGGCUGGCUACCAAUGCUCGCCGAGGCCCCUUGGGGCGCAUGGCUUCUCUGAGCCUUCGCCCCACUGACAAGCACUGACACACCUCAACUUCCUGCCACCGCUGCAAUCCUCCAGUUCACAAUGGUGCCCAGCCUGGGGCCUUGACCUUGACUGAGGAUAUGACUCCUGCCCUUAGCUUCCUUAGAUGGGAGAGAAGAGAGAGGCAGGUAGCAGGUGUAGCUAAUCCUUUCAGCAAUGUGAUUCUUAUUCUUGAUUUUUCUCCUGUACUACCCGGGAGAAGCCUGAUUUUAUAUUUGAAAAGAAUAAAGACUUUAA
Acomys russatus (golden spiny mouse) is the source of this 2690-nucleotide RNA transcript. It is a transcript of the gene named hook microtubule tethering protein 2, with no coding region annotated. The record is from RefSeq and is a predicted model, not a curated record. The transcript is spliced from 21 exons. NCBI's taxonomy places the organism in Eukaryota, Metazoa, Chordata, Mammalia, Rodentia, Muridae.